Molecule: long non-coding RNA, 1136 nt
Organism: Papaver somniferum (opium poppy)
Lineage: Eukaryota; Viridiplantae; Streptophyta; Magnoliopsida; Ranunculales; Papaveraceae
Exons: 3
Source: RefSeq, a predicted model, not a curated record
AACCCAUCGACGGAAACAAGAAGAACUCAAACCCCAAAUUUGUUUUCUAAAAUUCUUUCUUAACUGAUCAUAUCGAACCAUAGGUGAAAUUAAUCACCCGAAAUUACUCAAUUUCCAUAUCUUUUCAUCCCACGAAAAAAAACACUAUGAUUCUGAAGCUGAUCCGAGCUUGGACAACAAUUACUCAAUUUCAUUAGCAGUGGACUGUGAUUCUGAAGCUGAUUUAUUGGCAGUCUAGCUGAAAUUAAUCACCUGAAAUUUGGAUUUCAUCAUUACUUGCAACGUUUUUCAUCUUCGUAGAACAGAGCAUGUCGGAGAUUUGCUGCGUACAUGAGCUAUUAUAAGGGCAUGGGGUAUUCGUUAUUCCAUGAAUUGAACUGGAGACCUCAAAUGCCCUGUGGUUUCUAAUGUGGCGAAAAGGUGUUCCAACAAGUACUGUUAUACAAAGAAUUAUUUUUUGGCAGCAUAAAACAAUUCAAAUGAUGUAUGAGAUUAUUUACAAAGCUUUGGAGGAUGUUGAUCCUGAUGGUGUUCGGCAUCCGACAAACAGGCAAAGAGAAGUUUAAUGACUGAAAUUUAAAGCGAACGAGUCCUUGAAAGAGAUUUUAUCAUUUAUCAUAUUGUUUCAGAACGGAAUGGCAAGCACAUCGCACGUAGCAGCCGUGACAGGAGGUGGAGACGAAAAGUGAGUAUCAUUAGAUUUGCAUGCACAUGAGUUUGGUGUUUAUAACAAUGGUUUGUCAGAAAAGCUGCAAAUAUGACAAGAUUCUGCCCCAACCAAUAAUUCAAUUUUGAGUCAGAAUUUUGGAAAGAUUUGGGGGGACUUCAACUUCACUCUGCUGAGUAGAAAUAAAAGAAGUAGCAGCCAUGACAACGAGAUGAAACCACCACCAGUAGUAAGUAAGAAAUAUGCGAUUAGAUUCCUUCGUUGAAGCAAAUGCAGUAGCCAUGAAUAAGGAAUUGAGGAUGAUGAGUGAUGAAUCACAGAAAUUUAUUUAUCUUUUUCUAUUUUUCCCCUCUUUUCUCUUUGCCAGACUUUUUUCUUAUUUUUACGAAUACACAUUCUUGCGGUAAAAGGAUAUUUAUGAUAGAAAAAUUAUUAAAUGGGUCUUUUUAGGAAAGAGAUUCGUUACCAA